CUUGAUAAUUUUGCAUAUCGCAAAAACCGAAUUCAAUAAUUGUUUUAUUAUACAUUUGUUUGUGUUACAGUCAAAAUACAAGAACCUUCCCGCUUCUGUAACUUGUUUUGUAUUUAUUUGUUCUAUUUUCUGUAGCGAUUACCGCUUUAUCGGCACAUAUCGCGUUAGGAUCCGGUAGAAUUUCGCUUUCCUUCCUUUAUAUACGUCAAUUUGUAGCAAUGGAUACACCUUUCGUUAGAUUCUUUGCAUAAAAGUUGCGAAACUUAGAUCUUAUAGCGAUAUUUGCUGAUAAAUCGGUUUUAAACCGCCGCCUAGUGUGUUCAUACUAUACAAAUUUAAAACAAGUUACCGAAUACAAUCAUUUGACG
Molecule: non-coding RNA, 368 nt
Organism: Paramuricea clavata
Lineage: Eukaryota; Metazoa; Cnidaria; Anthozoa; Malacalcyonacea; Plexauridae
Source: the annotation of a GenBank genome assembly